UACGUAGGGGGCUAGCGUUGUCCGGAUUUAUUGGGCGUAAAGAGCGUGUAGGCGGCCAGGUAGGUCUGCUGUGAAAACUCGAGGCUCAACCUCGAGACGUCGGCGGAAACCAUCUGGCUAGAGUCCGGAAGAGGAGAGUGGAAUUCCUGGUGUAGCGGUGAAAUGCGCAGAUAUCAGGAAGAACACCCGUGGCGAAGGCGGCCUUCUGGACGGAUACUGACGCUGAGACGCGAAAGCGUGGGGAGCGAACAGG
Molecule: ribosomal RNA, 253 nt
Filed under: uncultured bacterium
Lineage: Bacteria
Description: partial 16S ribosomal RNA
Rfam family: Bacterial small subunit ribosomal RNA
Source: RNAcentral